CCUACGGGAGGCAGCAGUGGGGAAUAUUGGACAAUGGGCGAAAGCCUGAUCCAGCCAUGCCGCGUGUGUGAAGAAGGUCUUCGGAUUGUAAAGCACUUUAAGUUGGGAGGAAGGGCAGUAAGUUAAUACCUUGCUGUUUUGACGUUACCGACAGAAUAAGCACCGGCUAACUCUGUGCCAGCAGCCGCGGUAAUA
This 195-nucleotide ribosomal RNA is filed under the name uncultured bacterium. Its description in RNAcentral is "partial 16S ribosomal RNA". It matches the Rfam family "Bacterial small subunit ribosomal RNA", at positions 338 to 525 of the family's 1533-position model. RNAcentral also lists the same sequence under 1 other name. The record is from RNAcentral.